This is a long non-coding RNA of Lagopus muta (rock ptarmigan), 3152 nucleotides long. RefSeq lists it as uncharacterized. NCBI's taxonomy places the organism in Eukaryota, Metazoa, Chordata, Aves, Galliformes, Phasianidae. The transcript has 3 exons. The record is from RefSeq and is a predicted model, not a curated record.
UUUAUUUUUCCUUUUUCUUACUCUGUUCCUCUUCCUUCUUUUCCUCCAAGUAGUACUUCAGAAUGUCGUUCAGCUGCUGCUCACACUGGCUUACAUGUUGCAAUCCGUUUUCUUGCCCUGAAAGCAAUAUUCAAUAGGAUAAUUACGUAUCACUUCACAGCGUCCAUCACGUAGUUGCUGUGUGGCAAUGAGAACAUCUAUUUCCCAAAACGUAUCAAAUGGCUAUCAUAUUUCUACAUCAUUGUUCUUCACCUACUUGGUUGCCAACUAAGUAGACAGAAUAAAAUUAGUAUUUUGGCACUUCUCUUGUAGUGAAUUCUUAUCUGGUGUUUCAGAGACUAAAAACUCCUUCUGUAGUAUCUGCUAAGGUGGGGCCUCCCUGUGCAAAGAGCAGGCGUGUGUCUGCAAAGACACCCCAGUGGGUGCUGGGGAGUUGGAUUCAGACAGCUUAUUGAAGACAUUUUAGAAACUGGGACUUUCUCUCGCUUCUCUCAUUCAAUGAGAGUUGAUAAGGCAAAAGUUAGGAUGAAAUGUACUCAUGCUUUGAGAUGUGAAAUGAUUUCCCAGUUGUCUUCCCCUUGUUUAGUAUGUACUACUCAGAAAUAGAGUUACAUUGCUUUACAAUGUGUUCCUGCCUGGGUCUGCUAUGUAAAAACCAAAUCGGUAAAGCACUAGAAAUGCAGUAGCCAUCUCCAGAUCUCCUUGCCGGAGAACUUUGUCCAUCUAUCUGAUGCCAUCAAGAGAAGAAAAAAGAAGUCCCAUCACUGGAUAACAAAAAUACUUAGCAUAUAAAAGCAGUUUGAUGAUAGAACUGCAAACAAGCAACUUUUGUGCUUGUGAUCUACUUGCAAUAUACAAUGGGAAUAUAUAUAUAUGUAUAUAUAUAUAUAAUGGGAGUAUAUAUAGGAAAUAUACUGUAUUUUGUGUAGUGUGCUGUAUGGGAACUGUUGAGUCAUGGCCUGAACCACUGAUUGAUCACCUGAUGAAAGGACUGAGUCAGCCCUGGGAGCACAGGUGAAGGCAAUUCAGCUGUGUGAUCAGAAAGCGGUGGAGCCUGGCUGCACCUCUCUUAGCCCCCAUUUAAGGGCUGACUGGCACUGGGGAAGGAUCUCUUUCUGGAGAUCCCUCCUUUGUGGAGUCUGUCUUGCAAACCUAGAUCUUUGGCUACAGAACAACGAUCUCCUUCUCGGCUCCUUGGAAUGCAUCUACAGUGGACACCUGGACAGCCUUCACUGGAAAAGCCUCGGAAUGUAUGCUCCUAAGCAAGUUCUGUAUCUGUAGACAAACAAAUAUGGAUGUUGAUGAAUUAUGCUGCUCCGUCACUUAUUUGUCUUGAGCAAAAGCUACAAGUCUGAGCCUACACAAGAUGCAAACUAAGCAAUUAUGAAGUGCAAUGACAAUAUAUCUUCAGCUACCUACAGUAAAAUACUAUGGAAUGAGACUGCAUUUGAUAAAAUGCUGGUCUGCUCAGUGUGACAAACUGUGCUUGCAUUUAGUAAUCACAGCAGCCCGUAUCAUGCCCCGAGUGACUGAGUGAGGUACAACUGCAGCCUUGCUAUGCAGGUCUCUCCAUUAUCUGUCCUUGUCAUGCAUAUCAAUCUGUAAUGGCACCCACAUCAAAUAUUAAAAUUAUUAUUAUUAAAAUUAUUUAAUUUUCCAAAUUUUCUAAGUGGGCAGGUGUAUGGGAACUAUUGAGUCAUGGCCUGAACCACUGAUUUUUCACCUGGGGAAAGAACCUGUCAGCCAUGGGAGCACAGGUGAAGGCAAUUCAUGUGUGGGAGUGGAAGGAGUGGAGCCUGGCUGCAUCUCUCUUAGGCCUCAUAAAAGGGCUGAUUGCCACUGGAGAAGGAUCUCUGGCUGGAGAUCCCUCUCUGGGAUCUCUCUGGAGCUUUCCCCAGUGAACAUAGAUUUUUGGAGAUGGUGACCUACCACAGCAGUAUCCUGUCAACAGCAACAUUAGUGGAAGAAGCAAUCAGGAGUUUCCAUGGAGCUAGCUCUGGACCCUCCUUAGCUUCACUGCUUUCAAAGAGCUGGACUAGGAACAAGAUCACAACAGACAGCAAGUAGCUCUUUCCAGCUCCAAAAACACCUGGUAUGUUAGAAGAAAAAGCCAAAAAUUCACAUGAAGAUUUUCUAGAAAUACAGUUUUGAUCAACUAUUGUAAUGUAAUUUUAUCUUGUGAUAAUAUUGCGCUGUAAUUCCUGUAAAAAACAUUGCUUGCACUUGCUUCAGUAGCUGAAAGUAUCAAGGGGCAACCAGUUGGCUUACACUUUACUGCAUGUGUUGUUUUUAUUUAUUUGCAUGCAUCUCUCAUACUGUGGCCUCACGUACACAAUAAAAAAAUUGUGGUGAUGAUGUUUUCUUUCUAAUCAUUCUAAUUAAAUUAAUGCAGCAAUAGCUAAACUACAUUUUGGGCAAUGGAAAUGUAAUCCACAUGAAGACUGUUAUUAUUGGCCAUGCAUAUAUUUUUGCCAGGAUCCAAAAACUUAUGAUAACUCCAUCUCAGUACUGAUUUGAAGAAGUUUUUUAAAAAAUUGAAUUAAGAUGUUACUCAUGUAUGCAUGCUGAAAAGAGAUAAAACAAGGAUAUAAGGAAGUAUAGAACAAGGAAAAAAAUAACAAAAAGUUUAUAUAAUAAUUUAGCAAAGCUUACACAUGAUGACAAGUAUUUUAAUAUGAAAAAAUAAGCAGAAGACAAUCCUAACUUUAUAUAGAAAUUUUGGUAGGAAAGAUCUCUACACAUAAGGUAAAAUACUGCAAAAGGCAGGACGCAAAUUCAAGGAUCAAAAGUUCUGUGCUGACAGAAUACAUGUUACGAUUCUAAUGUCAAGGCCCUUACCAGAAGGACCUCAUGCAAGGCAUGAUUUUUUUAAGGAAAUGCAUGGACAGUAGUGUUAUAGAAGUGCUGAAAAGGAUAUUCCAUACACAGAGGCAGUUGAUUCAAUGCAUCUUUUUUUAUACUACCUUUAACAAUAAGUCAUUGUUUACCCAGACUUAAGGAUUUCUUUUUAAGUCUGUGUAGGACUGUAAAUACAUGAAUACAAAGGCAGCUAGUCUACUGUUUUGUCACUGAGAGAAGUUAGGGAUAUUUCACUAAUGUUGGUGUUACAUAUCAACUAGCAUUUUUGCAAAGAAUAAAAUAGCAAAUGUUAC